This is a long non-coding RNA of Lagopus leucura (white-tailed ptarmigan), 3257 nucleotides long. RefSeq lists it as uncharacterized. NCBI's taxonomy places the organism in Eukaryota, Metazoa, Chordata, Aves, Galliformes, Phasianidae. The transcript is spliced from 3 exons. The record is from RefSeq and is a predicted model, not a curated record.
UUCUGGGAGUUCUGGGUUAAGUCCAGUGUGGGAAGCUGCAGGGCUUCCAGAAGAAGAGCUGGAGCGAUGCACCUCUCAGUCCAUCAUGGAAAUAACAAGGGCUUUGUGAGAGACUGAAGCUUCCGGAUAGGAUCUGCAACGCUCAGGUUCAGAGCUACAGCCCAGAGCUAAAAGGGAGUGUUGCAGCACCGAUGCUCACGGCAGAUGAGGAGAAAUGCCUUAAUCUGAGUGAGAAGCUCUUCCUGGGAGAAGGCUUUUCUGCAAUCAGUGAUACAGGGCACAGGACUGCUCCUAUUGCAAAACACGUGGGAAAACCCUGUGGAAAGAAAUAAUGUAUAGGCAUUGAUCCUUACUCCAGAGCUACCAGGUAACAUCCUUCCAAAUUAAGAACUGGGCUUGGUCCCAAAACACCAUUCAAAUACUAGGUGUGAACCUGAGAUCCAGAUUAGGCUGUUUUGAACUUCUAAAAUGAUACAGAAAGGCUGGCAAGCUGCCUUAAUAAUAAUGAUAAAAAAACAGUCAGAGGUUUCUCUCCCCCAAGUGCUGUGCAGGGGUGGAGCAGGGCUGGCACGGCCUUCCUGCAGCCCUGCAUGUUGGGACGGGGCACCUGCUCCAAGCCGAGCCCUUGGCCUUGGUUGGUGUGUGUGAUCACAGCGAUGCUCAGCUCCUUUCUGCUGCAUUGGUUCCCAUUGGGUUCUUCUCCAGCUCAGGAGCCUCAGCAAGCUGGUGUCGUUGGGUUUUGGGUCUGCCUGGUGACUUGGGAUUGGGAUGAUCACUGAUCCCCUGGUGGAGUAAAGGGUCAGCAAGCAUUGCAUGCAGGGGACUGGGGAUCAGCCCUUUGUGGUGGUUGGGAGUGCUCUGUGUGCACUUGAGUGAAUGCUCAGGGGAUAGCCUGGAGCAAGGCCCAGAGGGGGAUCCGCUUACAGGAAUAACAUGAAUAUGAAGUAAGAAUAGCUAAUGCUAAUGAUGUUCUGAAAGGGAUAUUAAAUGUGCUGCUUUGGGGCUGUGGCCGGAGUUAAACCUUAUGUGCUGGAAAACAUGUCCAAAUCUGCUACUGGGUCAGGCAGUGGAAGCUGUGAGGUACUGGAAUAACACACUGAGCAUUUUUCAGGCUUUUGUGCAUGGACAUGAGCUGAUUUUUGAGCAGCCACUGUUUGCUUAUACAAACGCCAUGUGACUGAAUGCCAUCUUUUCCUGUAAAAUAUAUUUUAAAACUGGGCUUGUAGUCAUGAUGGACUCUGAGCAAAAUCCAUACCAAGUUUCAAAGACUCUUGCUCUUGUUCUGUGCCUCCUUCAGGAGGUAAGAAUCUCUAUAGAGAUAAGAAUCUCUAGAAAGAGGUAGGUCCAGUGGACGCUCAGUGGGCACAUUAGCACUGGAGUUGGACAGGGAUUCAUUGAUGGAAUGGUUGCAGAGGGGACUGCAACUGUGCUUUCCACCUGCCCUCUGUGCAUCUGGGUUCCUGGCAUCCUCCCUCUGGUUUGAUGCUGGGCCCAAGAUCAAGAGAGAUUAUUCAGAUAUUUUCUUGGUAUUCUGAUGUUUUUCAAUUAUUUCUGGAACACAGGAGUUGGAGAUGGGAUUCUGUAGAGGUUUUGCAAGAGCCUCCGUAAUGGACAGAAGUUUUUUACUCCUCAGAAAUUCUCCAGACCCAGUGGUCUCAGGAAGGUCCAUCUGUCAGCAAUUGUUGACUGUGGUGGUUAGCACCAGCCCUUCCCUUUGACAGAUCGUGCUGCUCUCUUCCAGGACUUUCAUUUAUAUGAGACUUCUGGCAGCCUGCUGCUUCCUAGAUAGAAAAGCCAACAGUCUGUUCCUUCUCCUCGCUAGAUUCAUAAUGUCAUUCCUUUAGAGACAAGAUCUCAUCUAUUGCUCAACCUUGGUGAAAGUUUGCUAAUUUUUCACCACCUCAGCACCAAAUCAUUCUAGUUCUGCACGUAUUACUGAGUGAUGUGUAAAGACUCACCGUGCACUUUUCCUAAAAAUAUGGUAGGGAAUAGGUGUGUAUGGAAACGUGGGUCUGAUUUUGUUUGUAUUUUUUUCCAUUUCUCCCAAAGAAGAGAACUAUGAAGCUGGCUCAAAGCAAUCUGGGCUUGCUGGAAACCAAAGGUAAAACAUCCGCAGUCCUCCCGCAGAGUGCACAAACCGCGUUUGUGGUUACGCCGUAGCAGCAGGAGCAACUCUUCUGUGUCUCAGAGAGCUUAGUGCUGUUCUGCCAUCUUUGCUCUUUGAAAUGUGAGAGCAAAAUUAAUUUCAGGAGAAGAAUAAAUGGAUUUAGAGCAGGGAUGAAUUUGGCUUCUAGUGCCACAGGAAUGCAAGAAAUCACCCAGCGAGAGAAAGAAGGCUAAACAAUGCAAACCUCUCAUAAAUCUGGGGAGAAAUUUUAAUCCAAAGUGCUCGCUGACCUUCACUGAUGCUCUCCUUCAUCUCACCAGUGUUUUAUUCUUCUUAAAUCCAGCCCCACCACUGGCAGACCAUCAGAGAAGUCAGUUCUUGCACAAACAGGAAGGCAGACUCCCUUCCCAUUAAUUGAGGUGGUGCUUCCAGUCCUCGGCCAGAGGACACAGGGGCAGGGAGGUGUUUGCUUCCAGGACCAGGACUGGAGCUGGUCUGGGAGAAAUACAUUUCCUGGGUGGGCAGAUCUGGCCCCUCCUGGUCAUCAGGUUCACAGCCAGCUCAGGGACAAACUCUGUGCUGUCAUCUGACCGUCCUGGGACGAACUGAUUUCCAUCCUGAGUACUUCGUGCCGUGCAACCAGGAGUGUUGGACCCCUCCAGAUGCCCUAUGAAUGCAUUUCUCGAAGACUGCCUGGGAGGAAACUCAAUCACAUUUCAGUUUAAUGAAGUGAUACACUAAGUGAUGAUGCCUGGAACCGACCUUGCUGGAUCUUCUUCCUGCUAUGACUGCCAUAACUCCCGCAGCAGCAGCUGAGAUUGCUCAGACAUCUGCAGCUCCAUGUGGAGCCUCACUACUAGAUUUGGUCUUGUGUUACCCAGCUGAGAUGUGAUCCCAGCAGGUCUGGGUAGGGGCUGCCUCAUGCCAUGCUGGGCACAAUAGCAGUGUGCCUGUUGGCAGCUCAAUGGAAACCAACAGUGGAAUUACAGCAGAAAAUAUAUGAUGGACCAUAAAAGGCUUUGAAAGUUUUUUUCCACGGAAGGCCAGUCCAAUCCCAUUAUAAUCCACAGUACAUCUGCAAUGCGUAGGACUUGCCGGUAACGUGGAUAUGCAUUAUUCCUUUAAUAAAAGCAAAUGAUGGCAAGGAAUG